Molecule: ribosomal RNA, 465 nt
Filed under: uncultured Klebsiella sp.
Lineage: Bacteria; Pseudomonadati; Pseudomonadota; Gammaproteobacteria; Enterobacterales; Enterobacteriaceae
Description: bacterial SSU rRNA
Rfam family: Bacterial small subunit ribosomal RNA
Source: RNAcentral
CCUACGGGUGGCUGCAGUGGGGAAUAUUGCACAAUGGGCGCAAGCCUGAUGCAGCCAUGCCGCGUGUGUGAAGAAGGCCUUCGGGUUGUAAAGCACUUUCAGCGGGGAGGAAGGCGGUGAGGUUAAUAACCUCAUCGAUUGACGUUACCCGCAGAAGAAGCACCGGCUAACUCCGUGCCAGCAGCCGCGGUAAUACGGAGGGUGCAAGCGUUAAUCGGAAUUACUGGGCGUAAAGCGCACGCAGGCGGUCUGUCAAGUCGGAUGUGAAAUCCCCGGGCUCAACCUGGGAACUCCAUUCGAAACUGGCAGGCUAGAGUCUUGUAGAGGGGGGUAGAAUUCCAGGUGUAGCGGUGAAAUGCGUAGAGAUCUGGAGGAAUACCGGUGGCGAAGGCGGCCCCCUGGACAAAGACUGACGCUCAGGUGCGAAAGCGUGGGGAGCAAACAGGAUUAGAUACCCUUGUAGUC